RNAcentral lists this ribosomal RNA (1803 nucleotides) under Triticum aestivum (bread wheat). Its description in RNAcentral is "partial small subunit ribosomal RNA". Lineage: Eukaryota; Viridiplantae; Streptophyta; Magnoliopsida; Poales; Poaceae. The record is from RNAcentral.
AUGGACGCCGCCGGAGGGGGAGGAGGAGGAGGAGGAGGAUUUGCGAACUACGCCGAAAUCGCGGCGCACUUCAACAAUCUGACACUGGCGGUCCUGUCCGCGCAGGACCGCAUCGAUUCCAUCGUCCCCUACCUCAUCUCCCUCCUGCCCGUACCCUUCGUCCCCGCGCCCGACGCCGACGACUCCUCCAACUCCGACGACGACCACUUCUCCCUCACCUCCUCCGACUCCGAGGACGACGUCGCCGACGACCGACCCGCUGCCGUUCCGGCGGCGCAGGACGAUGACGGCCAGGACCACAUCAGCCGCCUCCCGGACGACCUGCUCUCCAACAUCAUCUCCCGCCUCCCCACCAACGAAGCCGCGCGCACCAUGGUCCUCUCCACCCGCUGGCGCGGCGUCUGGGCGGCGACCCCGCUCCUCGUCGACGACGCUCACCUCAGGGCCGCCGACGGGCUCUGCGAGCUCCGCUCCGUCUCGCGCUGCGUGGCCGCUCACCCGGGCCCCGUCCUCGCCGCGCGCGUCACCCGCCUCUCCUUCUACCAGCACGAGUACGCGCUUCAGCAACUGAUUGCCAACCUUGCCGCGAGGAACAUCCAGGACCUCAUCCUCUUCAACCGCCCCUGGCCGCUCGACCUGCCGCUCCCCGACGAUAUCCUCAGCUGCGCCUCCCUCACCCGCCUCUACAUCGGUCUCUGGCGAUGGCGCUUCCCAGACACGACCGCCAACUCGCCUGCCUUCCCCAACCUUCAGGAGCUCGGCCUUUUCCACUCCAUCAUCGAGGACAGGGAAGUCGAUGCCUUGCUCGCGCAUUGCCCCAAGCUGAAGAUCCUCUCCUUUGCCAUGGCGUACAACUUCCCUUCUUGCCUCCGCAUCAGGUCCCGCAGCCUCCGUAUCGUGGUCGAAUGGCUAUGCAGCUUCGACGAAGUCAUCGUCGAGGAUGCACCCUGCCUGGAGCGCCUGUUCUUCGAAAGCUUUUCCGACCGGAGGCCCGUCAAGAUUGUCCACGCACCCAGGCUGGAGGUUCUCGGUUUCUUAGACCUCCAGCUCCAUGCGCUCGAGAUUGGCGGCAUUGUCAUCAGGGCUGGGAUGAAUGUGAGAGCUAGCGCCAUGCUGCCAAGUUUGAAGAUACUGGCUGUGAAGGUGCGGUUUUCGCAUGCCACGGAGGCUAAGAUGCUGCACACCCUACUCAGAUGCUUUCCUCGCCUUCAGACGCUCCACGUCAUGUUCCAGUCCAUUGGAUCCAGGUCACCUGAUAGUGUUGAUCGUGCUGACUUCUGGCAGCCCAUGGGCACAUGCGAUUGCCUUGAAUCUCAUCUGGAGACGCUUGUCCUCCACGGCUUCCAGGGCCUUGAAUGUGAGCAGCUGUUCGUCAGUUACAUACUUGAGAAGGGGAAGGUGCUUAAGACCCUGAGCGUUGUUUGUGUUGACAGUGAGGAUGUAGGAGUAGAGGAAGGCCCUGUCUCAGAUUCUGCUGAUGAGAGCAAUGUGUCAUCUGGCGGAAGAAGUAACAGUGAUGAUGUGGUAAUGGAGGGAGGCCUGAUGUCAGGUUCUGUUGAUGAGGGCGAUAUAUCAUCAGGCGGAAGCAGUAGCAGUGAUGGUGUGGUAAUGGAGGGAGGUCCGAUGUCAGGUUCCAUUGGUGAGGGCAAUGCGCCAUCAGGUGGAAGCAGUGGCAAUGAUAUGAUUUAUUUUUGUCCGGCCGCCUCUCGCUGGAGCUUUCAGAACGCCAUUGACUUGUCAGUGGAGGAUCCUUUCUGUGUGUUGUUGAGGCAGGCCCGGAUCACUUAUGUUGCUGUGGAAUGA